RNAcentral lists this long non-coding RNA (17068 nucleotides) under Medicago truncatula (barrel medic). RNAcentral's name for it is "long non-coding RNA (MTRU_LNC006411)". The record is from RNAcentral. Lineage: Eukaryota; Viridiplantae; Streptophyta; Magnoliopsida; Fabales; Fabaceae.
UGGUGAGUAACAUUACACCAUAUUUUAUGUUGAUGAGACGUUCUAUCUUAUUUUUGUUUAAAGCCGAAUAACUAAUACAAUCAAAUAACUAGUUAAAUAGAAUAACACUAUUCAAAAAAUUUAUUUGAAAUUUAUUUUUUCGACUUCGCUACAAACUUUAAAUUCUAAUCGAUGGAUUUGAAUUCUUUGCAUUAUGUGAUCACAUAGUUAGCGAUCUAGACCUUUGAAUCAAGCUUUGAUGGUCGGCGUUCCGACUUUUAUCAUGAACUCCAUUAAUCAAAGUCAGAACGUAGGUUGUCUUAUUUUUAUCCGAUGAUAUUGAUGGCAUUACGGCAUCAAAUGUGUGAUUCUAUGACAAGAGAGAAUCUUCUUAUAUAUAGCUCACCUCAAUAAAUAAAUAAAUUGUUGUCUUUUUCUAUGCUUCAUAGUGAUUUUCAUUAACAUAUUUCACACUACAAGAAAAAUGAUACUUCAUGUAUCACAUGUGGAAUUAUGUGCAAAAUCUCCAUAAUGGUUUCUUUCAUUUGCUUUGUACUUUUCCUUUUGGAAAAAACAACUUUAUAACUAAAAUGCUUAACAUCUACAUUCUACAGGGCUAUCUAGAUCCUGAAUAUUACAUGACUCAACAACUAACCGAAAAGAGUGACGUAUACAGUUUCGGGGUAGUUAUGCUUGAACUGAUAACAUCCAAACAGCCAAUCGAAAAGGGUAAGUACGUCGUUCGCGAAGUUCGAACCUUAAUGAACGACAACGAUGAAGAGUAUUAUGGUUUAAGGGAACUAAUGGAUCCAGUGGUGAGAAACACAGCCAACCUGAUAGGAUUUGGAAGGUUCUUAGAGUUGGCAAUGCAAUGUGUUGAGGAAUUGGCUUCAGACCGACCAACAAUGAGUGAAGUUGUGAAAGCGUUAGAAACCAUAUUACAAAAUGAUGGAAUUAAUACAAAUUCCACUUCAGCUUCAUCAUCUGCCACUGACUUUAAUGCUUCUAAGGGUGCUGCAAUGAGACAUCCUUAUAUUGAUAAUACUUUUACUAAGAAGGAUAAUGUUAUUGAGAGUGAUGCUUUUGAUUACAGUGGAGGGUACACACUUUCAACAAAAGUGGAACCCAAAUAGAUGAUAUAAAUUUUUGUUAGACAUGUCAUUUUUUUUUUUUUUUCAUUCUCAUAUAUUAAAACAUUUACUAGUCUCUUUUCAUCAUUUUGUUGCUGUAUACAAAAUAUAAUGGCGACUAUUCUUUCUGUGGCCAAUAGUUUUCUUGUAUGUAUUGUUUAGGAGGAAAUGUAGCAAGUUUGUUUAUCUCACAGCUCCAGUGUAUAGUAAUUCAUUCAUUCUGGUUAUAGGCAUGCGAUCCAGGCAGUCUGAAUAUGAUAGGACGGUUCACAAAACUUGCGUAUUUAAAUUUUCUUUUUAAUGUGAAUUAUCAAUCUUGAAAUUUACACCAUUCAAUCUUGAUGUUACCAUUUCAGACCGACGUAUUGACUUUUGACUCCAGCAUAUGCUGUCUGCAGGAUGAUUCACCUUAAAAUCUGUCUGACAUACUAAUGUUAUGUAUGUGCAAGUCAUAACCAAAGGAGUAACAAAAUAACAAUGGCUUUAAAAAAACAAAAAUAGCUACAACGCAAAGGGAACCGGACAACGUCUAACUAAGUCUUACAAGUUAUGUGAGCUUCUUUUUCCAUCUUAGGUUUCUAACAAAACCACACAAGACAGAAAAAUUAGUGUUUUUGUCCGGAACUAUACUUCCAGGCUCCUAGUUGAGGAUCUAGUGAACAAGGAAUAUAUCAAACUUGGUAGGCUCUCUUGUUUUAUUAAACAAAAUUAUAAAAAUACCAUAAAAUUUGGAGGAAAAGAAAUAGAAAAAUGGCAAGGAAAAUGGUUUACAUCGCGAGAGAAAAAUCCUGAUAAAAUCACGACACACGUUCAGCCAAGUAUUUGAAAGCCAUUCAUAAAUUACAGCCAGUAACAUGCCUUGAUUUCCGGCCAAGGAUGAGAUUUGAUAAGUUAAAUUCUGAUUUGUGAAUCUUUGGGAGAAGAAAGCUUUUGCGAGAUAUGGCAUUACUCAAUAAACAAUACAAUGAAGUCACUAUCAUUACUCAAAAUGUUUCCUUGCUAUUAACUCUUAAAUGUCAAAGCCGAAUUCUCUUCAACCAUAAAAGCAACAAAAAGAUUUCAAUUAAAAAAAAGUAAGAAGAAAAGAAAAAAAAAACAUGCUGAAACAAUUCAUGCAACAUCAAUGUUUUAUCGUUACUUCUAAAAUUUGGUUUCUGUGUAAUGAAUGAAUUUAUUUUCAGACCUAUCUUCCCUAUUCAAUUUUUUCAUGCACGCACGCACAACAUGAAUAUGGGCUAUAAUUAUGCAAUUUGAAUUAUAAGUUAUUGUUUAAAUAUGAAUAUAUUUAAUCCUUAAGUUAAAUUGAGGUCCAAAGAUGCAUUAAAUUCAUUUGAGGCUUCACUACUUGCAUUGGAAGAUGAGAUACAAACAAGAUUAGCGCCUUAAUUUAAGCCAUCUGGAAGGAGUCAAGGUCCCUUUUUUAUCCCCUCCAUUUGUUCCAUUAUCAAAGUUUUGAUGUAUAAAUAUUCAAUUAAUGUUUUCGAUUUUAAAAAUGUGUACAUACAACAUUUAUUUAACUAAAAACUAAAGGAAAUGGAGAGAAUCCCUUUUUUGGCAAAAAUAUAACAAUAUUCAUUUGAAUUGAUAGAGUGCAUCGAUACAAUAUAAAUGAAUAAACACACAUAAAAAGUCAAGGUACUUAUGCCAACAAACAGAGUCGUGCAGAGACGACGAAAUCACAAAAACAAACGAAAGAAAAAUAUGUGGAAAUCACAUAUUCAAUUAGAAAAGAAGGAAAAACAAUUCGGAUGAGUGAUUUUGGGUCAAAAUUGACCAUAAAUCACUCAUCUUCAUUAGACAAGAAAAAGAAAGGAAUGACGGUUGGGGUUUGAAAAGGAGAGAAGAGAGGUUAGCUUCUUUAAAAAAAAAAAACUUAAAAAAUUUUACACAUGCAUGGAUCCCAUGUACACCUAUCAUUUCUCUAUUAAAUGUGCAUGCAAUAGGUAUAUAAAUGCUACCCUAUCAUUUAUUAUUGGGUAUAAUUUACACAUGACUUAGCAACAUCAAUGGAAAGGAACGAUGAACAAGUUGCAAGAUUUCUUUUCUAUUGGUCACUAAGCAAGCAAAAUUAAUUAAUGAUGACAAGACAGUUAAAAGCGACUUGCAAGCUAUGAAGUGAAGAAAGGGUAACAUAGCAAUUCGUUUGUGGCUAAGUUAAAGAGUUUGAAAGUCAGAAGAAGACUAUGAGUCUAUGAUUGUGAAUAUAUUGAUACGUGGCAUAUGCAACAGUAUUGAAUUGGAUUAGCUUCUAAUUAAGACAGGAAAAAUAAUCAACAAAAAUUGAGCAGGAACCACAAGUGUCUUCCUUUGUUUUGUCUUUAUGAAACCUCAUUGCAUUUUUGUCCUUCACUACUUCCUCUUCAUCCUAGACUUUCUACACUUGACUUUGUUUCUUGCUAGUUGGUAGCUAGCAUGUUACAUGUUACAUGCAAUGCAUAAUAUCCUUUCUUUGCUUGAGGCAAGUAUUUUUGUCUGAGUGCCAUAUAAUCAGCAAAUUGUCAAGAAGUUGAUUGAGAACUAUUUCUAACAUGAAAAUACAAAGUGUGUUUCUCUUUUUGUUAUUCUUAUGGGCUCAAAUUCAUCUCAUCUUUUCAAUUACUGAUCCUCAAGAUGGUAAUGUUUCAUAACAUCCUUUUUAUUGAUCAAAAGUGUCGGUUAUGUUGUAAAUGGCUUAUUCCAUCUACUUUAUUUCCAUUAGUCCAUGUGUGUGCUCAUCAAGAGUACUAAAGUAGUAAAAUAGUUUUGUUAAAUGUUGAUUUUGUUAUGUAAUACAAUAAUUGUACAUAAAUAAAUAAGUGAGAAUGUUAGUUUCAUGCCAAAACACAAUAUCAUAGCAAGGACAUGUUUGGAUUUGUCUAUUGAACUUAUCUACUGGCCUAAACACUAGUGAGAAUGUUCAAAGUAACUUAUGAAAACAACUUAUAGUUUAUAGAAAACAGAUUGACUUUAUUCUAUUCUUUGUUAUAGAAAUAACUUAUUGCACAUAAAAACUUGUAUGAUAAGCACUUCAUUAAGUUGUUUAUCCAAAUAUGACGUAAGUUACUACCGGUUAAUGCAUUUUUUAUAAUGUUUAUAUACUGUUGCAGUUACCGUACUUAUGUCUCUAAAAGAUGCAUGGCAAGAUACACCACCCAGCUGGGACAAAUCAGAUGACCCUUGUGGAGCACCUUGGGAAGGAGUAAUCUGCAAUAAAUCAAGGGUUACUUCAUUGUAAUAUAUAUAAAUUGAACAUUAUUAUUCCUUGUUAACUUUGGUAUAUUAAUUUUAUCACCCUUUUACUCACACUUUUCCAACCUACUAAUUUAAAAAAUUCUACUUUGUCAUUUACAUAAAAAAUAUAGGAGAUUGUCAACCAUGGGCCUGAAGGGUGAAUUAAGUGGAGAUAUUGGUGGACUCACAGAAUUAAGAUCCUUGUAAGUAUUGUUUUAUGUGUAUUAUUAAAAUGAAACCAAAGGCUAGCAUUAAGGUUUCACCAUAUGACUGAUAUAAUCAUUAAAUAAAUCAUCAAUGUAGUAUCUAAAGUAUUAUUAUUUUCUGUCCAAUUUAGAUCCAAGUAUAUAAAAAUGAUAAGUAGUUUCUUAAGUAUAUGAAAUUCGUCGAUGUAGAAAUAUAUGAAAAUUCGUCAUAUGUUAGUCUCUAACAUCAUAAUAGCAUGGACUAAAGUAAGAAACUUCAUAUACUUUAGGAACUAAAACGACAAAUUCCAUAUACUUUAAGGACUGGCUGCUGGACAAAUGCACGGAAUUUUUGGUCAGGAGCUGUUGUGAAUUGUUGCACAGCCUGCAGAAUUCUGCAGCAGCAGAUGCAGAAUUUAUUUCUGCAGUUAGGCAACUAUGGGUUACCUCCAUGUCGUCAAAAAUUGCUUUGGAUGGAAAUUAUUGCAAGAAAGGCUCCCAACCCGGGGCAAAUUACGGAGAAGAGUAGUCAUUCGGGAUAUUCAUCAACAAAGCUGUGUAUUUUGCUUUGAAGGCAUAGAAUCAGCAAGUCAUUUAUUUGUAAAUUGCGCGAAAACUCAAGAUUGGGAGCUAAUUCUCAAUUCUCUGAAUUGGAAACCAGAUAAUUGGAGUUAUGAGAUAGUAGAUAAUUUGUUAUUGGUCAAUUUGGUUUGCAAGGAAAGAAGGGUCGGGAGGGGUCACAUUUAAUUUGGCUAACGAGGCUAGGUGUAUUUGGUUGCAACAUAACCAUAAAAUUUUUAACGGAAAAAUAUCAAUGUGUGAGAAGUUGUAGAUCUCAUCAAACAACUAUCUUGGUCUUGAUUAUUUAGCAGGAUGGGAUGGAAUAACUGUUUAAAGUUUGCCUUUCGAUGAACAUUUGAUGGCUGUUGCUUUGGAACUUGUGUUGGCUUCGUGGUUUGUUGCUUUUGACAGUAUCUAGAAGGUGUUUCUUUGGAAUUGUUUGCUGCAGAAUGUAGGAGUCUUUUUCGUUUUUCUGGUUUUUAGUAGCAGGGGGGAUGCAUUGGCUUAGCAGAUUUUGUUUUAAAUAGAGGGGGAGCCAUGUAGUGGUUUCCAAUAUAGUUUAGCCGCUCAUGUGCAAUUUGUUUUGGAUUAAUGGUAGCGUGUUUUGUUAUUCCUUAAAGUUGUAUUCUGGUUUGGAGCGGCUUUUUCACGCCAUGUGCUAUUUUACUCUAUACUGAAAAAACGACUAAAUUGGAAAGAGAGUGAUACUUUAUAGACUAAAUUGAUUGUUUAUUGUAUAAGAAUUUAACAAGCCAUAAUCACAAUUACAAUACUUUUAAAGAAAAUUGUUUCCAUAAUACUAACUUAUCUUUAGUCAUAAAAAAGAAGGAAUAAAAAACUUCCAUACAAUGUAUUUGCAUAUUAACUUGUGUCAAUUCAUUUAACUGCAGGGACUUGUCCUUUAAUAAAGGUUUAAUGGGUCCUAUCUCUCCACAAUUGGGAGACUUAAGCAAGCUAAAUAUUCUGUAAGUUAGGUUCACAAUACCUGUUAAUUUCCCAAUCCAUUUCAAGUGAAACUUUUAGUAAUUUUCAUACGGAUUUAAACUUCACUGUUUCAGGAUUUUGGCUGGUUGCAGCUUCAGUGGCAAUAUUCCAGAUAGAUUGGGGGAUCUUUCAGAGCUAUCUUUCUUGUAUGAAUUUUUUUAGAAGAAGCAUUGUUACCGAUGUUUUAAAAAUUGGAUGAACUAGCCGGUUCAAUAAGUUGGCCAAUUCGCCGAUUGGUUUGAUCCUGUUAUAUUGUAGGAUGGUUGAAUCGGGAUUGAACCGGUUGAACUGAUUGAACAAUGAUCCGGCGGUUUCACUGAUUCGAUCUCCAAUUCGGUUUUUUAAACAUUCGUUCAUUUUUACUUGCAUAACAAAUAAGUGAUUAGUAAUUUAAUACUAUACACGUCUUAUUGAAUUAUUUAGGGCUUUAAAUUCAAACAACUUCACUGGAAAAAUACCUCCUUCAUUGGGGAAACUCUCCAAACUUUAUUGGUUGGACUUGGCAGACAAUCAGCUUACAGGACCACUCCCAGUUUCAACCUCCAUUACCCCUGGCUUAGACCUCCUUUUAAAGGCUAAGCACUUGUAAGUUUGUUGCUUUUUUUGGUGUUUCUUUGUUGACUUUUGUGAGUACUUUUUAUGGCUCCUUAUUGUCUAAAAACAUUGCAGUUUAUCAUUUUCUAAAAUUUGUGUUCGAAUUAAAUUGUCAAGAAAGGGAUAAAAGACAUGUGUAAUAAACAAUUGUGAUAAAAAAACAUGGAAGACAAGCAAGGAAGAUUGCAUUUCAUUUUAAACAAUGUCCUGACAUUUCAAAAUUUCUGAAAAUGUUAGACUUGUUUGGGAAAUAUUAGAUUUGUAUUAUCUUAUUUUUAUUAGUUGAAAUAGGCCUAUUUGAGAGAACAAUGCUCCCUUUCCUCUUUUCCUCUAUUAGUAGUUUCUAAUGUUAUAACGAGUAUUAAAUCAACAGUUUUUCAAUUACUAUUUUAUGCAGCCAUUUCAAUAAAAACAAGCUUUCUGGUACCAUUCCUCCGAAACUUUUCAGCUCUCACAUGGUACUCAUACACAUGUAAGUUGACAUUUGUGAUGUUUGGAUUAACUUGUUUUAUUUUUUCGACUAGCACAAGCACUUGUGAGUCAGCUUACUUUAAUACGCUCUUCAGUAUAGCUUAUGAAAACAGCUUAUAGCAUAUAUGAAAGCAAUUUAACUUAUACAUAAGAACUUAUAAGAUAAACGCUUAUGCUAUAUGCACUUAGUUAAUCUGUUUAACCAAAUAGGGCCAUUUUAGGUUUUUAUAAGCUUAUGGUCCCAACUCUCAAUUUUUGUGAUGUUCUUACUGACAGAUUAUUUGAUGGAAAUGAUUUAAGUGGAAGUAUACCUUCUACAAUAGGACUAGUUCAAACAGUUGAGGUUCUGUAAGUCAAUUCUUUCCUUAUGUUUCAAAUGUUCUUUACAUUCAUUUAAUUCCUUCUUCCAUUUAUUUUCACUAUACUGAAUAUUCUUCUUUGAUUACCUUUUUGUUAAUUGUUUCAAAUUUAUGACAGUCGGUUCGACAGAAAUUUCUUGACAGGAGAGGUCCCUUCAAAUCUCAGUAACCUUAGCAACAUCACCGAAUUGUGAGUACUUAGAUUUGAGACGCGGAUAUAUAAAAGGAUUUUAUAAUAACAUCAAUGGAUAAUUAUACAGUGUUACUUCAUUCCAGGAAUUUAGCACACAACAGUUUGUCAGGUCCUUUGCCAGACUUAACAUCAAUGGAUAACCUCAAUUAUGUGUAAGUAAUUGGCAUGAGUUGGCAUUUCUACUUUCUUUCCUAUAAGAGAAAUGAUUUUCAUAUGACCAAAUUUCGACAAUAUUCACGACAACAUUUGAGUGGUUAGCACAUUUCAAUUGGUGGUUAAUUACAUUUAGUAGAUAGUUAAUAGAUGUAUCAUGUGUCAAACUCAUUAACCACCACGAUUGCUUCAUUAACCAUGAAUUAGGAAGGGGUUAACUAUAAUUUUAGAUGUUCAACUACAUGUAGAUUUGAACACCUCAAAAUUGAGGUUAAUUAAGUCCAUAUUUUUGGUUAAUGAAGUUAUGUAAAUGGUUAAUAAGUUUUAACACAUGUUAUAUCCAUUAAUCAUUGAACCUAAUGCUUAGUGAACUGUGUUAACCACUUAUAUUGUUGUCGCAAAAGUUGUCCAAUUUUUGUUGUGCAAAUAACACAAUUGUUCCUUUAAUAUGAUAUGAUAUGAUGUUAUCAUUGAUAUAAUGCUAAUCAAUAGAUAGUGUUAUGUAGGGAUCUUAGUAACAAUUCCUUUGAUCCAUCAAAAGCUCCAAUUUGGUUUUCAACUUUAUCAUCACUCACCACUCUGUAAGUAAUUUACAAGAAGAACAAAAAAGUUUCUCCCUUGUCAAGUUAUCAAAUCUAACAAGGAAUCCUUUUUUCUCCAUGAUCUAUGCUUAGUGUUAUGGAGUUUGGAGCACUUGAAGGUCCUCUUCCAUCAAAACUGUUGACUAAUUGACCUAUAAAACUUUUCUGAAUACUUUAUUGUUUAUGUUACUUUAUUGCUUAUGUGUGUAAUUAUUUUAACUUGUUUUGUUAGUAAAACUAUGCUGCACAAGUAAGAUUAUCUGCACAAGUUAAGUAGGUUUAUGUCAUAUAUAUGACAUCAGCUAAGCAUAGGCUGAGUCAUUACUUAGUAUUUGGCUAUAAGUAUGUAAGAAGGAUGUAUGGAUGGUAUGUAUCAAAUUUGCAGCAUAGUAAACAUUGUUAUUGUCCCUUUCUCUUCCAUUUUUUUUUCUUCUCUAAUUUCUGUUUUCUGUUUUUGAGCUUAUUGCUUCUGCUGCCAUUACAAAAGCUAACAAUGGUAUCAGAGCAGUGUUCUUAGAGGCUGUGAGAAAAAGAAAAACACACACCCAGAAAACUUGUUAGAAAUCAAAUGGCUUCUGGUAGUAAUGCUGUAAUUACUGUUCCUCAAUUUUCUGGGGAAAGUUAUCACAUAUGGGUUGUCAAAAUGAAAUCAUGUUUGAAGUCUUUUGGCUUAUGGGAUUAUGUAGAUGAAGACAAGCAGGUUCCACCACUGCAAGCUAAUCCCACAGUAGCUCAAAUGAAACACCAUGAGGAGGAGAAAUUGAAGAAGGAGAAAGCGGUUUCAGUUCUGCAUUCAGCCUUGGCAGAUGAUGUGUUUACGGGAAUCAUGCAUCUCGAAACAGCCAAGCAAAUAUGGGAUGAGCUGGACGAAAGGUAUGCUGGUGAUGAAAGGGUAAGAUCCAUAAAGUUAUUGACUCUUAAAAGGGAGUUUGAAAUGCUGAAAAUGAAGGAACAUGAAUCUGUCAAAGAAUACACCUCAAAACUAUCUCACUUGGUGAAUCAAAUGAGACUUCAUGGUGAGGUUGUAGAUGACAGCAAAGUAGUGGAAAAGAUGCUGAUCAGCUUACCCGACAAAUUUGAAGCCAAAGUUGCUGCUAUUGAAGAGUCAUGUGAUCUCAAGAAACUAACUGUUUCUGAGAUGGUCAGCAAAUUGACAGCUCAUGAACAAAGAUUCUCUAUGAGAAUGGAUGAUGUUUCUGAUGGUGCUUUUCAGGCCAAACACAAGCAGUUUGGAGUUGGACAGAAGAAAAAGAACUACAAACAUGGUGGUGAUCAAAAAGGAAAGAACAAAGAUGAUGGUAGUUCAAGUGAAUCUGCAGCAAAGGACAAGUUCCCUCCUUGUCUAACUUGUAAAAGAACAAAUCACUUGACAAAAGAUUGCUUUUAUAAGGGAAAGCCCCAAAUUAAAUGCAAUCACUGUAAUCGAUGGGGUCAUAGAGAGAAGUUUUGUCGAUUAAAACAAAACCAAUCUCAACCACAACAUGCACAUCAGGUUAACUUCACUGAUGAACAAGCCCAUGAAGAUCACUUGUUUAUGGCCACUCAUACAUGUAGCUCUUCUUCUAAAGAUGUAUGGUAUGUUGAUAGUGGGUGCACAAUCCACAUGGCAAAUGAACCAAGUCUCUUCACCUCUUUGGACAAAGCUGUACAAACCAAAGUGAAGAUUGGAAAUGGAAAAUAUGUGCAGGCCAAAGGAAAAGGUAUUGUUUCUGUUCACACUAGCAAAGGUCCAAAAUAUAUCCAUGAUGUUUUGUUGAUUCCAGAUCUGAGUCAAAAUUUGCUAAGUGUUGCUCAGUUAUUGAAGAAAGGAUAUUCAAUUUCCUUUAAAAAUAAUGUUUGUGUCAUAAUGGAUUCAACUGAUUCUGAAGUUGUGAAGGUUGAAAUGUGUGGAAAUAGUUUUCCAUUAAGUUUGAAUCAAGUGAAUCAAACAGCACUUGUUUCCAAACAUGAUGAUUCUGCACUAUGGCACAAAAGAUAUGGUCAUUUUAAUUUUAAUGCAUUAAAAUUUCUGCAAUCUCAUGAUAUGGUGAGAGACAUGCCAGAAAUUAAUUGUAUUAAUGAUUUAUGUGAUGCUUGUCAACUUGGAAAAAUGCAUAGAAAGUCCUUUCAGUCAACAAAUGUUACACGAGCAAAGGAAAAAUUGGAGCUUGUUCAUACCGACUUGUGUGGUCCUAUGAGUGUGCCCUCUCUUAGCCACAACAAGUACUUUCUAUUGUUUAUUGAUGAUCUGACUAGGAUGACAUGGGUGUAUUUUCUGACAAGUAAAGCUCAAACUUUUAAUGUCUUCAAAAAGUUUAGAGCUAUGGUGGAAUCUCAAAGUGGCUGCAAAAUCAAAGCUUUGAGAUCUGACAACGGAAAGGAGUAUACUUCCAAUGAAUUUAAUUUGUUUUGUGAAGAUAUGGGCAUUGUACAUCAGCUGACAGUGAGCUACACACCUCAGCAAAAUGGAGUUUCUGAGAGGAAAAACAGAACAGUUAUGGAGAUGGCAAGAUGUUUGAUUGCUGAAAAGCAAUUACCAAAAAGCUUUUGGGCUGAAGCUGUUUAUACAGCAGUGUAUCUCUUGAAUAGGCUGCCAACAAGGGCUGUUCAAGGGAAAACACCAAUUGAGGCAUGGAUAGGUGUGAAGCCUUCAGCCAAACAUUUGAAGGUCUUUGGAUCAAUAUGUUAUGUUCAUGUUGUAGCAGCAAAAAGAUCCAAAUUGGAUGAUAAAGCUGAAAUGGGGAUUUUUUUGGGUUAUGCAGCAAGCUCCAAAGGUUAUAGAGUGUACAACUUGAAGACAAAACAAAUUGUGAUCAGCAGAGACAUUGAUGUUGAUGAAAAUGCAUAUUGGGAUUGGGAAAAUGAUGAGGUUCAAAGAAGUACAAAAUCUGCUGAAAGUGCUCAUGACAAACAAGAGCACACAACAAAUGAAGAUGAAAAUCAGAUAGCUGAAUCUGAUUCCCCAAUUCUAAAGAGCAAAUCUCUGUCUGAAGUUUAUGAAAAUUGCAAUUUUGUUGAGAAUGAACCUUCUAGUUUUGAAGAAGCUUCAUUGAUAACAGAAUGGAAAGAUGCAAUGAAGGAGGAGCUGCUGGCCAUUAAUAAAAAUGGUACAUGGGAACUCACUCAAAGACCUAAAGAUAAAAAUGUGAUAGGAGUUAAAUGGGUUUACAGAACCAAGUUAAAUCCUGAUGGCUCCAUUCACAAACACAAAGCAAGGCUUGUUGUGAAAGGAUAUUCUCAAAUGGCUGGAAUUGAUUAUGGUGAUACAUUUGCACCGGUUGCUAGGCAUGAAACAAUUCGGUUGAUUGUUGCUCUAUCAGCACAAUGUGGAUGGAAGAUCUUUCAUUUGGAUGUCAAAUCGGCAUUCUUAAAUGGAAUCCUGGAGGAGGAAAUUUAUGUUGAACAACCUGCUGGUUUUAUUGUUGCAGGUCAUGAAGACAGUGUUUAUAGGCUUCACAAAGCCUUGUAUGGGCUAAAACAGGCGCCUAGAGCCUGGUACAGCAGAAUUGACUCACAUUUUCUGCAAAAUGAUUUCAGGAGGAGUCAAAAUGAGCCUACACUUUAUGUUAAAGAAUGUGGCAAUGGGAAGAGGAUUAUAGUUUCUCUUUAUGUUGAUGACUUGUUGAUUACCGGUAAUGACAUUGAUGAGAUUAACAAGUUUAAGAAGAGCAUGUUGCAGGUCUUUGAAAUGACGGACCUGGGAUUGAUGAAGUAUUUUUUGGGAAUGGAAUUGCAUCAGCUUGAUGAUGGAAUAUUUCUUUCACAAAAGAAAUAUGCUAAUGAUGUGCUGAAAAAAUUCAAAUUGGAGAGUUGUAAAUCUGUUUCAACACCUCUUGCUGUAAAUGAAAAACUCUCAAAAUCUGAUGGAGAUGCUAAGGCAGAUGUUACUCAAUAUAGGAGUUUGAUUGGUUGUCUUCUUUACUUGACUGCAACUAGACCAGAUUUGAUGUUCUCUGCUAGUUUGCUUUCUAGGUUCAUGCAUUCACCAAGUGUAACACACUUAGGUGUGGGCAAAAGAGUGUUGAGGUACAUAAGAGGUACUACUGAUUUUGGUAUUUGGUACAACAAAGGUGAUGGUAAGAUUGAAGGCUUUGUUGAUAGUGAUUGGGCUGGAUCUAUUGAUGAUUCUAAAAGCACAAGUGGUUAUGUUUUUUCACUUGGUAGUGGUGUAUUUUCAUGGAAUUCCAAAAAACAAGAUGUGGUUGCUCAAUCCUCAGCUGAAGCUGAGUAUAUUGCUGCUGCAGCUGCAUCAAAUCAAGCUAUUUGGAUCAAAAAGGUAUUGAGUGAUCUGAAUCAUGUACAAGAGGAACCAAUUGUGCUAUGGUGUGACAACAAAUCAGCUAUAGCAAUUGCCAAAAAUCCAAUUCAACAUGGAAGAACAAAGCAUAUCAAUGUCAAAUUUCAUGCUAUAAGAGAAGCUGAACAAAAUGGAGAUGUAAAACUGCAGCACUGCAGUUCUGAAGAACAAUUGGCAGACAUUUUAACAAAAGCACUUCCUAGUGCCAAGUUCAUGGAGCUAAGAAGCAAGCUAGGAGUAUUUCAAAAAAGUUUUAAGGAGGAGUGUUGACUAAUUGACCUAUAAAACUUUUCUGAAUACUUUAUUGUUUAUGUUACUUUAUUGCUUAUGUGUGUAAUUAUUUUAACUUGUUUUGUUAGUAAAACUAUGCUGCACAAGUAAGAUUAUCUGCACAAGUUAAGUAGGUUUAUGUCAUAUAUAUGACAUCAGCUAAGCAUAGGCUGAGUCAUUACUUAGUAUUUGGCUAUAAGUAUGUAAGAAGGAUGUAUGGAUGGUAUGUAUCAAAUUUGCAGCAUAGUAAACAUUGUUAUUGUCCCUUUCUCUUCCAUUUUUUUUUCUUCUCUAAUUUCUGUUUUCUGUUUUUGAGCUUAUUGCUUCUGCUGCCAUUACAAAAGCUAACAAAAACUAUUCAGCAGUCCUCAAAUACAGCAAGUGUAAGUCACAAACUUCAAUGUAAAAGAUAAGUAUAAACUACAAACAUUGGAAGCAGUAACCAUAAUUUUCAUCUUUUAAAUUCAGGAAACUAAGAAGCAAUGCACUGAACAAAACACUAAACAUGGAUGACAGCAUUUAUCCCCGGUUGAAGCUUGUGGAUUUACAAGAGAAUAGGAUUUCAACAGUCAUAAUCGGGGAACAUUACAAAAAUACAUUGAUGUGAGACCUUUUUUGCGUUCUAAUCAGGCAUACUUUGGCUCCAUUUGACUUCCAUUAUUUUUUACUUCUCUUUUACUGAUGUAGUGAUUUCUAUCUAUUCAUGCCUUUCAGUCUCAUUGGAAAUCCAGUGUGCAGUACUGGUCUCUCAAAUGCAAAUUACUGCAACCUUCGGCAACAGCUUAAACAGCCCUAUUCCAUUAGCUUGGCUAAUUGUGGAGGAAUAUUAUCAUGUCCCCUGGAUCAAAAGCUCAGUCCACAAAGUUGUGCAUGUGCCUAUCCAUAUCAAGGAAUGUUGUACGUUAGAGGACCUUUGUUUAGAGAAUUGUCUAAUAUAACUAUUUUCCAUUCACUUGAAAAGAGCUUAUGGGAGAAAUUGGGUUUAACACCUGGUUCAGUUUCUUUACAAAACCCUUUUUUCAAUGGUGAUGAUUAUCUUCAAAUGCAACUAGCACUCUUUCCACCAACAGGACAAUAUUUUAAUAGGUCAGAAGUUCAAAGAUUUGGAUUUUCAUUGAGUAAUCAAACAUACAAGCCUCCACAUGAAUUUGGACCCUACUACUUCAUUGCAUCUCCUUAUGCUUUUCCAGGUAACUUAAAAAUACAAUACAAACAUUAUUGAUGUGCUUUGAUGUUAUAUAUUUAGCUUUAUGAAAGAUGUACUUAACAGUCGAUACACAACAUUGAUGUAUGCCUAAUGCUAUAUUGUGAUUUAUUGAUCGCUGUUGUUGUAUAAUAACUGAACACACAAGGUGUAAAUUGUAACUAAUUAUGUGUGUGUAUUAAUACUAAUACAAUUACAAUUGCAACUUCUAUGCAGCUGGUAAAGUGAUAUUUAUAUAUAUAACAAAAUGUAAAUUUAAAUUAUUUCAGAUUCCUACAAAGGAGCUUCUCUUAGCAUAGGUACUAUUAUUGGGAUAACAGCUGGAAGCACAACUUUGAUUUUGUGCCUCGUAGGGUUAAUGGUAUAUGCAAUCCGGCAAAAGAAGCGUGCAGAGAGAGCCAUUGGAAUAAGUAGACCAUUUGGUAAUGAAACAACAUUCGCACUUUGAUUUUCUUGUUAACUUUUAUCAACUUUGUUUAUACGACACAUUUUUCUUCCAGCAUCCUGGGCAUCAAGUGGAAAGGAUAGUGGAGGUGCACCACAAUUGAAGGGAGCAAGAUGGUUCUCUUAUGAUGAACUAAAAAAGUGCACCAACAAUUUCUCAGGAAGAAAUGAACUGGGCUUUGGUGGCUAUGGCAAGGUAUUUCAUUUGUGUUAACAUCUAGUUCAGGAAGAUCUUUUUGUCAUGGUUAUCAGUAUCUUCCGGUUCAUGGAUACAUGGAGAAGUAUCUCAAAUUGAUACCAAAUUGAAUCCAAUCCAGUCGAUACGAAUAUCUAGUGUCUAUCUAUUUGGACAUGAAUAAUCUCAACUAUAAUUCUGAUUUACUAUGACGAAUCUUGAUUCUUUCAAAAGAAUCACUAUCUAAACUUAGUGUAAACACUACCUUUUUUGUCAAUUUUGUAUAACCAAUCACUUUUUUUUACAGGCCAUUUUUCUUUUAUCAUUUGAUAUAUAACUUGAAUCUUGAAUUAUUUUGAGAUUCAUAUAUGAUAUAUCAACUAAUAAUUUUGUUGUGUCACUUGUAUUCUAACGAUUCAUAAUAAGAUUCAAUUCCAGAUUCAAAAAAAAUAAUAUCUUAUGAUUCACUAUUUGAAUCUCAAUUUGCUAACCAUGAGUUUUGUAACUGUCUACUAUUGGCUCUAGGUGUACAGAGGGGUGUUCCCUGAUAGAAAAAUAGUUGCAAUCAAAAGAGCUCAGGAAGGAUCAAUGCAAGGAGGCCUAGAGUUCAAGAAUGAAAUUGAGCUGCUUUCAAGAGUUCAUCACAAGAAUCUUGUUAGCCUUGUUGGAUUCUGCUUUGAAAAAGGAGAACAGAUGUUAGUUUAUGAAUUUAUCCCCAAUGGAACACUAAGGGAGAGUUUGUCAGGUAAGUUCAUAGUGAAGGAACACUCAAGCUGAAAGUUAAGCUUAUUCUCUGAAGAAAAAAAUAAAUAAAAUUCACAGAUGAACUUUUGUUGACUACACUGUUUGGUAAAAUUCAUUUCAUACAGAAAAUUAUUAAAAGACUUAAGUGUAUUGUACACAUGUUUCUUUGCAGCUUACUUUUUCAGUUUUGUUAUUUCAAGAACUAAAAUUUGACAACUCUUGUGACAGUAUAAAUGUUUAAUACAGUUGAAAUAAAAUUACGUUUUGUUUAUAUUAUAGAACAAAAGAAAAAAAGAUCCACAAUACUGCUUAAGAACCUAAUAGAAUCCUUUCCAUCAAUGAAUGUGAGUUGCAGGAAAAUCUGGUAUACAACUUGAUUGGAAGAGGAGACUUCGUAUUGCUCUUAGCUCAGCAAGAGGACUUGCAUACUUACAUGAACUGGCCAACCCUCCCAUAAUACAUAGAGAUGUGAAGUCAACCAAUAUCUUGCUGGAUGACAAUUUGAAUGCAAAGGUUGCAGAUUUUGGUCUGUCUAAGCUUGUAUCAGACAGUGAGAAAGGCCAUGUCUCAACUCAGGUCAAAGGGACAUUGGUGAGUAACAAAUACUAACAAUAGAAUAACAAUAACCAAAUUAUAUUUUGAUUUUAAUUGUUCGACUUUGCUACAAACUUAAAUUCUGAUCUAUGAAUUUUGAUUCUCUGCGUUCACGUUAUCAUGUAGUUACCUAUCUGGACUGUCAAAUCAAAGAUUGGACAGCCCACACUCCGAAUUUGAAUUCUGAACUCAUGGUCAAAGUCAGAGCAUAGAUUGCUUGAUUUUUAUUUGAUCAGAUGAUCAAGAUGGCGUUAAUGCAGCAAUUGUGUGAUUCGGUGACAAGAGAGAAUCCUCUUAUACAUAGUGCUCUUCAAUCAAUAAAUAAAUAGAUUGUUGUCUUUUUCUGAAGCUGAUACUGUUAGUUGAUUUCAUUGGCAUAUUUCAAAACACUAGAAAAAUGUUACUUGCUAAUAUCUUAUGUGGAACUAUUAGCUGCGAAAUCUCCACAAUUGUGUCUUUAAUUUGCUUUCUACUUUUCCUUUUGGAAAAAACAACUUUAUAACUAAAAUGCUCAACAUCUGCAGGGCUAUCUAGAUCCUGAAUAUUUCAUGACUCAACAACUAACCGAAAAGAGUGACGUAUACAGUUUCGGGGUAGUUAUGCUUGAACUGAUAACAUCCAAACAGCCAAUUGAAAAGGGUAAGUACGUCGUUCGCGAAGUUCGAACCUUAAUGAACAACAAAGAUGAAGAGUAUUAUGGUUUAAGGGAACUAAUGGAUCCAGUGGUGAGAAACACAGCCAACCUGAUAGGAUUUGGAAGGUUCUUAGAGUUGGCAAUGCAAUGCGUUGAGGGAUUGGCUUCAGACCGACCAACAAUGAGUGAAGUUGUGAAAGCCUUAGAAACCAUAUUACAUAACGAUGGGAUGAUUACAAAUUCUACUUCAGCUUCUUCAUCUGCCGCUAAUUUUGAAGUUUCUAAAGGUGCUGCAGCAAGACAUCCUUACAUUGAUACUCUUUUUAC